Non-coding RNA from Arvicanthis niloticus (Nile rat), 1455 nucleotides. The record is from RefSeq and is a predicted model, not a curated record. Lineage: Eukaryota; Metazoa; Chordata; Mammalia; Rodentia; Muridae.
AUGGCAGAAAAUUCAGAGAAGAAGAAUUGGCAUGAAGCACAUUUUGUGAUUGAAUCCCCUAUCACGGAGGCUGUCUACCUGGUGAUAAAUGGUGUGGGCCUGGUGCUGGACUUGCUGACCUUGGUGUUGGAUCUCAACUUCCUGCUCGUGUCCUCCCUCCUGGCUACCUUGGACUGGCUUUUGGCUUUCAUCUACAAUCUGCCACACAUGGUACUGACUAGUCUUCUGCACUUGGGUCGAGAAUUCCUGCUUUCUUUGGUGGCUGUCGUGGAAGCAGUGGUCUGAUUUACUUUCAGAGCUUGCAGGCCUUGUGUACUCUUCUCUAUAGCUGCUGCUCUGGCUUGGAGAGCUUAAAGCUACUGGGGUACCUGGCCUCUCAUGGAGUUCUGAGGAGCCUGGAAUUACUGAACAGGGGCAUCCUGAACAUAGUCUCCAAUGGUCAUGCUUUGCUGCGCCAGGCCUGUGACAUCUGUGCUAUUGCCAUGAGCCUGGUGGCCUAUGUGAUCAACAUUCUGGUCACCGUCUGCCUCAUUGACACUCAGAACUUCUCCCUGGUGCUGGCCCUGUGGGAUGCUGUGACAGGGCCUCUUUGGAGGAUGAGAGAUGUGGUGGCUGCUUUCCUUGCCCACAUUUCCAGCAGUGCUCUGGCCAUGGUCAUUCUCCUGUGGAUCCCCUGUCAACUAGUACUGGAGUUGUUGGCCUCCGCUGUCCUCCUCCUUGCCAGCUGUGUGCUUUUCCACCUCACUGGUUUGGUGUUGCUGGCUUUUGUACUAGCAGUGAUUUUGAUUGUGUUGCAUCCAGAACAAACCUUGAGGCUGGCCACCAGAGCUCUCAUUCAGCUUCACGCCCACCCAUCCUACCAGCAGCUUCCAGAGGAUAUUGUACGGCUGUUUCACCUUCUACUAGGUCUAGAGGCUUGGCGCAGAGUCUGGAGUCGAAGCCUACAACUGGCCAGCUGGCCAAAUCAGGGAGGAGCACUAGGAGCCCCCAAGGUGGCCCCAGGAGGGUGUUCUCAGCCAGGAUCCACAGGACACUGUUCCUGAAGCAAAAGAGGUCAUGAGAGCGGCAUCUACUAGAGGCUGUGAGAGACUCAAUGAGGAGGAGCCUACAUCUGGGCAAGACCCAUGGAAGUUGCUGAAGGAGCAAGAAGAGCGGAAGAAGUGUGUGAUUUGCCAGGACCAGAGCAAGACGGUACUGCUUCUGCCUUGCCAGCACCUGUGCCUGUGCCAGGCUUGCACCAAGAUCCUCAUGGGUCACCCUGUUUACCACCACAACUGCCCGCUCUGCCGCCACAGCAUCCUGCAGACCCUCAAUGUCUACCUCUGAAGACUCCCUCCCUGCCUGCCCAUCCUUUGCGCUCUACACACCAGGACAGCAUCAACAUUUUGCCUCUGGGUUCUGGCCUGAGUCGUCUGUGCCCUGAAAGUGACUCUGCCAAGCCUCAUGCCAUAUAUC